UGCGCCUCCCAAGUGUUGGGUCUCUCCUGAUACUACAACUCCCAGGAUCCCCAAGCAAGGUGCCAUCCUGCCUGUGGAAGCAGGACCAAAGUGAUGUAACGAUGCCAUACAGACGGGCCUUUCUUUGGGUGGGUUUUGCUGUUAAAACUGGGACAUUUUGAGCCACCUCGUUAGCUGCCAACGAGGGACACCUGAGCCUCCCCUGAAGGAGGGAAGAAGGCCUCAAAAUGGCCGCCGGACGCUGCCUGAGGAGAUGCCGGCUUCCCCAGGGAGGGAGUAACUAAAUAAAAGCCACCUGUGAUAAAUCAAGGCAGCUAUCUGAGAUGCCAGGGACCUUAUCAAGGAUGCCUACCUGUAGGGUAACAAAGGCUGCUCUGCCUCAGGCAGCCGGAUGUCUUGGGUCAGUGCUGCUGCUUCUCCGUUUUGAGUGAAAUCUGAUGUAACUCAUGCCAUCAAGCACAACACCACCAAAAUGGGAAGAUAAUGUAAAGUAUCUAUAGGUGACCUUCAUUUCAAGCACAUGUUUGCUAUCUUUUCUUUAAUAUACAGGUAUCACAUAUUCCACUCCUCAUUUAACUG
This is a non-coding RNA of Pogona vitticeps (central bearded dragon), 579 nucleotides long. Lineage: Eukaryota; Metazoa; Chordata; Lepidosauria; Squamata; Agamidae. The record is from RefSeq and is a predicted model, not a curated record.